Caenorhabditis remanei is the source of this 83-nucleotide non-coding RNA. The record is from Rfam. NCBI's taxonomy places the organism in Eukaryota, Metazoa, Nematoda, Chromadorea, Rhabditida, Rhabditidae.
ACCCGGGUGGCCGAGUGGGGAAAGGCACGAGUGUUCACUCGAUGGGCGUCGACCCUGCGCAGGUUCGAAUCCUGCUCCUGGUG